GCCUUUGUGGUGUAGUGGUAGCACGCGCUUUUGCUAUGGGUGAAAAGCUGGUUCGACUCCCGUCCGAGGUCGCG
Molecule: non-coding RNA, 74 nt
Organism: Parelaphostrongylus tenuis
Lineage: Eukaryota; Metazoa; Nematoda; Chromadorea; Rhabditida; Metastrongylidae
Source: the annotation of a GenBank genome assembly